AUGGCUCAGGAUUAACGCUGGCGGCGUGCCUAAUACAUGCAAGUCGAAUGGUAGCAAUACCAUGGCGAACGGGUGAGUAACACGUAGGUAACCUGUCUUUAAGCCGAGGAUAACCAUUGGAAACGAUGGAUAAUACUGGAUAGGACAUUUGAAGGCAUCUUUAGAUGUUUAAAGAUUUAUCACUUAGAGAGGGGCCUGCGGCGCAUUAGCUAGUUGGUGAGGUGAAGGCUUACCAAGGCGAUGAUGCGUAGCCGGACUGAGAGGUUGAACGGCCACAAUGGAACUGAGAACGGUCCAUACUCCUACGGGAGGCAGCAGUAGGGAAUUUUCGGCAAUGGGCGGAAGCCUGAACCCGAGCAACGCCGCGUGAACGAAGAAGUAUUUCGGUAUGUAAAGUUCUUUUAUUAGGGACGAAAAGACAGAUUGACGGUACCUAAUGAAUAAGCUCCGGCUAACUACGUGCCAGCAGCGGC
This 473-nucleotide ribosomal RNA is filed under the name uncultured bacterium. Its description in RNAcentral is "bacterial SSU rRNA". It matches the Rfam family "Bacterial small subunit ribosomal RNA", at positions 19 to 518 of the family's 1533-position model. The record is from RNAcentral.